GCUCUUGCAGGAGGACUUCCUGCCCUUCCUGCGGGUGGGGAAAUUCAUCCUUGCUGUGCAGCUUGAAUGAUUCUCCGUGUCCUGCUCUGAUCUCUGCUGUUGUGUGCUGUGAGGGGACCUCAGGGAAGCUCUGAAAUCGCGACAUGGAUGCAGUGACUUUUAAUGAUGUGCAUGUGAAAUUCACUGAGGAAGAAUGGAAUUUGCUGUAUCCUUCCCAGAAGAGUCUCUACAAAAAUGUGAUGUUGGAAACCUACCUGAACCUCAAAGCUAUAGGCUAUAAUUGCGAAGAGCAUCAUCUCGAAGAACAUUGUCAAAAUAAUAGAAGUCAUGAAAG
Molecule: long non-coding RNA, 334 nt
Organism: Apodemus sylvaticus (European woodmouse)
Lineage: Eukaryota; Metazoa; Chordata; Mammalia; Rodentia; Muridae
Exons: 3
Source: RefSeq, a predicted model, not a curated record